UGGGGGAUAUUGCACAAUGGGCGAAAGCCUGAUGCAGCGACGCCGCGUGGGGGAUGAAGGCCUUCGGGUUGUAAACUUCUUUUGCUCUGAACAAGGCAUGCCUUUGGGGUGUGUUGAGUGUAGGGGUUGAUUAGCGCCGGCUAACUACGUGCCAGCAGCCGCGGUAAUACGUAGGGCGCGAGCGUUGUCCGGAAUUAUUGGGCGUAAAGGGCUUGUAGGUGGCUGGUUGCGUCUGUCGUGAAAGCUCAUGGCUUAACUGUGGGUUUGCGGUGGGUACGGGCUGGCUUGAGUGCAGUAGGGGAGGCUGGAAUUCCUGGUGUAGCGGGGGAAUGCGCAGAUAUCAGGAGGAAUACCGGUGGCGAAGGCGGGUCUCUGGGCUGUUACUGACGCUGAGGAGCGAAAGCGUGGGGAGCGAACAGG
This 420-nucleotide ribosomal RNA is filed under the name Fusobacteriota bacterium. RNAcentral's name for it is "Fusobacteria bacterium partial 16S ribosomal RNA". It matches the Rfam family "Bacterial small subunit ribosomal RNA", at positions 355 to 776 of the family's 1533-position model. The record is from RNAcentral. Lineage: Bacteria; Fusobacteriati; Fusobacteriota.